RNAcentral lists this ribosomal RNA (253 nucleotides) under uncultured bacterium. Its description in RNAcentral is "partial 16S ribosomal RNA". It matches the Rfam family "Bacterial small subunit ribosomal RNA", at positions 524 to 776 of the family's 1533-position model. The record is from RNAcentral.
UACGGGGGGGGCAAGCGUUGUUCGGAAUUACUGGGCGUAAAGAGCUCGUAGGCGGCUUGUCACGUCGGUUGUGAAAGCCCGGGGCUUAACCCCGGGUCUGCAGUCGAUACGGGCAGGCUAGAGUGUGGUAGGGGAGAUCGGAAUUCCUGGUGUAGCGGUGAAAUGCGCAGAUAUCAGGAGGAACACCGGUGGCGAAGGCGGAUCUCUGGGCCAUUACUGACGCUGAGGAGCGAAAGCGUGGGGAGCGAACAGG